This 467-nucleotide ribosomal RNA is filed under the name uncultured Glomus. RNAcentral's name for it is "SSU rRNA". It matches the Rfam family "Eukaryotic small subunit ribosomal RNA", at positions 569 to 1043 of the family's 1831-position model. Lineage: Eukaryota; Fungi; Glomeromycota; Glomeromycetes; Glomerales; Glomeraceae. The record is from RNAcentral.
AGCAGCCGCGGUAAUUCCAGCUCCAAUAGCGUAUAUUAAAGUUGCUGCAGUUAAAAAGCUCGUAGUUGAAUUUCGGGAUCAAUAUGUUGGUCGUGCCUCGGUACGUACUAGCUUAUUGGUUUCUCCCUUCUGACGAACCAUGAUGUCAUUUAUUUGGUGUUAUGGGAAAUCAGGACUGUUACUUUGAAAAAUUAGAGUGUUUAAAGCAGGCUCACGCUUGAAUACAUUAGCAUGGAAUAAUGAAAUAGGACGUUUGAUUCUAUUUUGUUGGUUUCUAGGAUCGACGUAAUGAUUAAUAGGGAUAGUUGGGGGCAUUAGUAUUCAAUUGUCAGAGGUGAAAUUCUUGGAUUUAUUGAAGACUAACUACUGCGAAAGCAUUUGCCAAGGAUGUUUUCAUUAAUCAAGAACGAAAGUUAGGGGAUCGAAGACGAUCAGAUACCGUCGUAGUCUUAACCAUAAACUAUAGC